GGAGAUUGACCAGCAGGUGCAGAUCCAGGACCACCACCUCCUGCAGCUGCACUGCCGCUUUGAACACCCCAAGGAGCGGUAUUGCCGUAUCCCAUACCACCAUAUCCUGCGGGUGCUUGGGAGCUCCAUGAACUUCUAGGAGCACCUGGUGGGCCACCACCAUAACCAGCAUUUGGGGCAUUAGGGUUUCCAUAGGCGGCAGCGGCUGGACCACCAUAUCCAGUAUUGGUACCACCAUAACCUCCAUAGCCUCCAUAACCAAUGCCAUUACUGGAAGGAGCAUACCCAUAACUGGGUGCACUAUACCCCGAAGAACCAUAAGGAGGAAAACCACCACCAGUGCUCUGAGAUUGCAUGUACCUGUUCGAGUCCAUUCGACCAUCAUAUGCAUUUGGGUUCCCACCAGAUGUUCCAUAGCCUUGGUAACCACCACCAGAUGCACCACCGCCACCCUGACCACCCCCCAUGGAACGGCCACCACCACCAGGGUUGGCAUCUUUGGGAAGAGCCCUCUUUACUUCCACUUGCUUACCACUUAAAUCAUGAAAUGUCUUGUGCAAAACCCUAUCUACUGCAUCUUCAGUGUCAAAUGAAAUAAAUCCAAAUCCACGAGGUCGUCCAGUAUUUUGGUCAAAC
Molecule: long non-coding RNA, 636 nt
Filed under: Fragaria vesca (wild strawberry)
Lineage: Eukaryota; Viridiplantae; Streptophyta; Magnoliopsida; Rosales; Rosaceae
Description: long non-coding RNA (FVES_LNC001646)
Source: RNAcentral